AGGAGAUACCAUGAUCGCUAGGUUGGUUUUCCCAGGGCGAGACUUAUCCAUUGCACUCCAGAUUCGAUGACCCCUGGAUUUUCCCUGGUAGCAGUAGUUC
Molecule: small nuclear RNA, 100 nt
Filed under: Sorex araneus (European shrew)
Lineage: Eukaryota; Metazoa; Chordata; Mammalia; Eulipotyphla; Soricidae
Description: U1 spliceosomal RNA (ENSSARG00000018909.1)
Source: RNAcentral